UACGUAGGGGGCAAGCGUUAUCCGGAUUUACUGGGUGUAAAGGGGGCGCAGACGGCGAUGCAAGCCAGGAGUGAAAGCCCGGGGCCCAACCCCGGGACUGCUCUUGGAACUGCGUGGCUGGAGUGCAGGAGGGGCAGGCGGGAUUCCUGGUGUAGCGGUGAAAUGCGUAGAUAUCAGGAGGAACACCGGUGGCGAAGGCGGCCUGCUGGACUGCAACUGACGUUGAGGCCCGAAAGCGUGGGGAGCAAACAGG
This 253-nucleotide ribosomal RNA is filed under the name uncultured bacterium. RNAcentral's name for it is "partial 16S ribosomal RNA". It matches the Rfam family "Bacterial small subunit ribosomal RNA", at positions 524 to 776 of the family's 1533-position model. The record is from RNAcentral.